GUUUUGGUAGCUUAUGUGUAAAGCAGCAAGCUUUUAACUUGUAGAAGGGAGAAUCCCCCGGAAUA
This is a non-coding RNA of Mya arenaria, 65 nucleotides long. NCBI's taxonomy places the organism in Eukaryota, Metazoa, Mollusca, Bivalvia, Myida, Myidae. The record is from the annotation of a RefSeq genome assembly.